AUAACCACUUUAAUUUUGGACGCC
This 24-nucleotide non-coding RNA is filed under the name Arabidopsis thaliana (thale cress). Lineage: Eukaryota; Viridiplantae; Streptophyta; Magnoliopsida; Brassicales; Brassicaceae. The record is from RNAcentral.